AAAACAACCCUUAGACCUUUCCAAAAAAAACCCACAGUAGUGUCAUUGGUUCAGAGAUCAAUCUCUCUGUGCUUGCAGGUUAAUUUCCGAGUUACUGCAAAUGGCAAUUGACAAUAGAUGAUGAUGAAUUUCUCUUCAUAAAGAAGCAUGGAUUUCAUUUAGAAGAAUCAAACAACUUCUUUCACUCUGAAAGAUACCUUUUGUUACCGACAGAGAAAAUAUAUUUCUCUGAACUUUCUCCAACUAGUUUGUAGUUUAGUUAUUGCAUAUAUUGACAUGUGCCUAUCAAUACACACACACACACACACACACACACAAGCUUCAGAGUUUUCAUCUACCAAUUUGAGGUAUUGGUCAGCCAAAGACUACAAUAGAACAUGCAAUGGUGUGAUUCUAAAGCAAACUUUAUAACUAGAGAACCAUGCCUCUGCAUUUUUAUGCACACAAACUGGUGGCUUCAAAUGUAAGCUGUAAAGUGGGUGGUGUUUGGAAGGCAUCUGACCAAAGAAACCAUACCAAAGCAGAUAUUGGAGCACAAUGUAGUUCUUAGAUACAUUAGAUCUUGUCAAAACGUCCAACCCAUGCUUGCCUGAAA
Octopus sinensis (East Asian common octopus) is the source of this 595-nucleotide long non-coding RNA. RefSeq lists it as uncharacterized. The transcript is spliced from 3 exons. The record is from RefSeq and is a predicted model, not a curated record. NCBI's taxonomy places the organism in Eukaryota, Metazoa, Mollusca, Cephalopoda, Octopoda, Octopodidae.